Molecule: non-coding RNA, 538 nt
Organism: Schizosaccharomyces pombe (fission yeast)
Lineage: Eukaryota; Fungi; Ascomycota; Schizosaccharomycetes; Schizosaccharomycetales; Schizosaccharomycetaceae
Source: the annotation of a GenBank genome assembly
AUUUUUUCAUAUAUUAGAAUGCUAAUUACCUUCUGCUUACUAAAAAUUGCAGAUAAUAAUUCUUCUAUUUGCAUGGGUACCUGUUGGAAAUGUAUUUAAAGAAAUCCCAAGUAGAGUCCAAUCUGAACUGAAGAACGAGGUUCAGUUAUAGACUAUAUUAGUGAUUGCUAACAAUGAUCCCUAUAUUCAACAAUAUCUACAACGAUAAAUACCUAUCACCUGUGCCAUAGUAUAACAGAUCAAAAAUUGUACAUAACUAACAUAAAAUCGCAGCUAGCGUUAAGGACGUUGUGAUUCGAUAUUUAAGCUUAAAAAUAACCCUUGGAACAAAAACGAACAUUAUAAAAAUUAAGCAAAAAGUAUUUUUAUACCACGUUACCUUUUUACUGCCUCUCCCUGACUUUAUCGGCUUAGCGAAAUGGAGUGAAGUUACCAUAUAUAAACCUGAAUAGUAUUAAGAUAUACCUACACUGUAUUGGUGAUAUAGCUUGCAAAGAUAAGAAUAUAAAAUUAUUGUUGAAUGUAAACUUCUCUAAUC